UCGCAGGUUCGAAUCCUGCACGACCCACCAAUAUACAAGGUGGUAACUGGUAGAGAACGUGAAGGUUAACGUUGCUUUAGCAACGGCCCGAAGGGCGAGGCGAAGCCGAGUCAUCCUGCACGACCCACCA
This 130-nucleotide small RNA is filed under the name Salmonella enterica. RNAcentral's name for it is "partial RtT sRNA". It matches the Rfam family "RtT RNA", at positions 35 to 130 of the family's 130-position model. Rfam says of the family: This family represents a bacterial cis-regulatory element known as RtT RNA. Lineage: Bacteria; Pseudomonadati; Pseudomonadota; Gammaproteobacteria; Enterobacterales; Enterobacteriaceae. The record is from RNAcentral. RNAcentral also lists the same sequence under 1 other name.